AGUGAACGCUGGCGGUGUGCCUAACACAUGCAAGUCGAGCGGCAGCACAGUAAGCUCUUGCCCUUACCGGUGGCGACUGGCGGGCGGGUGACGCAUAGAUCGGCAUCUACUUUUUCUUGGGGGAUUUCGUGGGACCGCUGCCGCUACUGCCGCAUACGACCUACGGGUGAGAGCAGUGGAUCUUCGGGGCUUUGCCGUCUCAUUGAGCCGGUGCCGGAUUAGCUAGUUGGCGAGGUAAAGGCCCACCAAGGCGACGAUGCGUAGCUGGGCUGAGAGGAUGAUCAGCCACACUGGAACUGAGACACGGUCCAGACUCCUACGGGAGGCAGCAGUGGGGAAUAUUGGACAAUGGGCGAAAGCCUGACGGAGCCAUGCCGCGUGGGUGAAGAAGGCCUUCGGGUCGUAAAGCCCUGUUGUUGGGAAAGAAAAGCAGCAGGAUAAUACACGGCUGUUUUGACGGUACCCAAAGAAAAAGCAACGGCUAACUUCGUG
This 492-nucleotide ribosomal RNA is filed under the name uncultured bacterium. Its description in RNAcentral is "partial 16S ribosomal RNA". It matches the Rfam family "Bacterial small subunit ribosomal RNA", at positions 29 to 507 of the family's 1533-position model. The record is from RNAcentral.